Long non-coding RNA from Argiope bruennichi, 682 nucleotides. RefSeq lists it as uncharacterized. NCBI's taxonomy places the organism in Eukaryota, Metazoa, Arthropoda, Arachnida, Araneae, Araneidae. The record is from RefSeq and is a predicted model, not a curated record. The transcript has 3 exons.
GGUGACGUAGACAUAGUGAAGACGUAGUGACGUGGCAUAGUGAAGAAGAUUAUUAUUUGCAAAGACUUUUGGUAUUGUGAUAUCUCACUUCAACUUCCUCUGAAUUUUGAAAAAGGAAACCUCGACUGCCUUAGGAUUGAGACAGACUCCUGUUAAUCUGAAUAAGGCAAUUUUUCUCGUGCUUCUAUGGUUAUUCAAUCCGUCAUCUCAUCUGCUAUUGCCUGGAUAAUGGUUAGUCGAGAAAAUCUAAAUACAUUCCGGGACUUUAUAAGAUUUACUAUGCAAGAAUCGACUAAUGCCAAGUUAAUGCCAAAACGAAAUAGAAGCAGACUUCCGUAACCAUUUGCUGGUGCUAUUCUAGUUACAUCAAGGAUAAAGGAGGAUCAGGAGAUGAACAGAGCUAUACGGGACGAAUACAAAGGAUUGUUGGUUCUUUCAUUACCGAGUGUAUAUACUGAAAGCUGCUCACAGAGGAACCUGGCCAGAUAAGCUACUUAAGGAUCUGUUCCUGAAAUCCCGAAUUUCAAGCAUCAACUUGUUUGGUCUUCCCGAGCAGUUCGGAAAGUUUCUUCAUAAAAUCCAGUCCAGAAGAUCCCAAGGAAUCGAAUUGGACAUGGUAAUGUUUUUUGACUUCAAGAAUAUUUCUAAUCAUAGUUUAAGAUUGUCUGGAUUAUUUAAGAAA